GAGAGGAGCGAGCGACUCCUGCGCAAGCGCAGAGUGAAGGGCCGGGAACAGUGGAGGGUGCGAGGAAGACAAUGGGGGAGGACCCUGAGGCGGCCUCUGUGAGCCGACAGGAACACGUGGUCGAUCAGAGAGAGACUCUAUUUAAAGUCAUUUCCGCAGUUAAUUGCUUCAUGCUGAUGUAGUUUCUGAAAACUUCACAAGCACACAAAAAUCCUAGAACAUGGUGUCUUUUAGGAGGUUCGUGAACGGAUGGGGAGGACCCUGAAAAGCACUGUGGAAUACAGGUUUCUAGUAACUUCAAAAUCACAUCAUUUGGACUGGGUAAGAAUUGCUGAAACUUUAAUGAAAAGACUGACUGGCUUAUAAAACUGCUAACCCAAAUAGAAUAAAAAUUAAUUGAAUACCGAGGAAAUGCUUCACCAGGUUUGCAUACUUAAUCAGCCUAUACUGAAAUUGUUUAGAUAUACAAUUUGAAUGAACUCCAUGGUCUAAGUCAAAUUACCUGUGAUAACCCAUCAGUUAUCCAUGCUAUGUGCCCAAUUUGGAGAAACAACUGGCACCCAAGAGGACAUAAGUCCGAUGUUAAGCAUGGACUCAUGGAGAACCAAGAUGGCUGCCUUGUCCUUCGUGAGUCCUUAAAGCUUUUGUUAUUAAAAGUUAUGCAUUCCAUGACUCAUCCUGGAAAAGAUAAAAUGAUCCAAAUUAAAUAUGUUGGUGUGGUGACUUACAGAUUGUUAAAAUAGUUUAUAAACAAUGUUUAGUUUGUCAAACCCAUACUCCUGGGAAGUCAAUCAAAGCUUCAUGUACAUUUGGCUACCUGAUGAGGCAUUUAAACAUUUAUAAAGGGGUUUCAUUCAGUUGUCAUUUUCAAUGUAUGUGUUCUGGUUGUACUAAAGCUUUCCCAUGCAGGAGGGCUAAUGUUAUAACAGUAGAUUACUAUGUAUCAGUGUAUUUUCACCAGGUAAAGAGCUUUUUAUGGUUCACUGAGGACAAUCAACCCCUUCACAAUCUAGAACCCAAAGAUGGGAUCUUCUGAGAACAUCAGAGAAACGCUGCCCUUGGCAUCAUCACUGCAACAAAACAUCAGGAUCUUGAACCUUGGGGUCAUAAUCUCACAACUGAGCAGGGUCACUCUUGGAACUCUACAUCCAUUGAAACCCUUAAGGUAAAGCUAAUCAGGGAAGUUUCUCCCCAGAAGAAGAUGGCAUCCUUGAUGUGAGCAGCUCUUUCUGAAGAUCAUGGAUCAAGACUUCUUACUAUCAUGAGACUCUUAUCUUUGAAUGUUUUUCCGUUGCUUCCGCCUCUGUGAACAACAGAAGUGAGAAGGGGGUCUGUUUUGUGCACUUAUGGGGUAUACUUUUAUUUGUGAAGGGCUUUGCAGCCAGCUUUAUACAUGGAUAAUCUUAUAACUUGAUAGAUAAAGAUGAAGGCCCAGUGUAUCAUAGGUGAGAAACUUCAAUGGUACAUAUGGUGCCUCAUAAUCAUUCAGAAGCAGAACAUUGGUUCACUCCUCUUAACCCACAGCAUGGGUUAAAGAGACCAUUGCCAAGAGGCCUUCCCUCUUCUAGAAGGGCAUCAUUUGUUAGGUCCUUUUUCCAUGGUUUGGAAUUAAAAAGGCAAUGACUAGAAACAUAUCCCUCAUGGUAGACUCUGUAGCAGAUUCUACUGUAAAGGCUACACAACAGAUGUUAAAUUCUCUUGUGAAAGUUAUGCUAAAAAAUAGAAUUGGCUAAACAGGAAAGUACCUGUGCAGAUGCUGGCACUUAAGGCCUAUGGAGAAAACAUCAGGUGUUAUAGAGAGUCUGUUGUAGGGAAUUAACGAAAAGACCACUGAGUUAAGUCAAAGAAUGGUCUAUUUGAGUUUAGGUGGUCUGGUUUAUGGGGACCCUGGCUAAGGAGCAUACUCCAAAUUCUUGGUGUUAACCCUCUCAGUAGUCAUAAGAAUAGUCUCCCUGGUGCACUGUAUUCUCUCAAAGGUUUUAAAUGUUUGCAUGAAGCCAUCUUUAGAACGUCAGAUGGUCUCUCUUCAACUGGAAUGACAAGAGCUGAAAGAAAUGUGUGACCACGAGGACACCGAAACCGAUGAGUGACAUGCUGAGACUGGAAAUCCAAAAUGAUAGUAACGGAGAGUGGCGCUAACAUCCUAAGUUUUGGUCACACUCUUGCCUAAGUGACAACCUGACAAAGGGGGAAUUUUUUAAACAAAAUGAUGGGAGGCCAUUGUUUUGGACUGAGCACUAGGUCCCAACAGACCAAACCGAACCAAAAUGGCAUCAUUCGUGCUAAAUGUGACAUAAUCGAAUUAAGACUUUAAGGAAACACAUGGGUCCUAGAAUAGACCAGGUUUUGUUUUUCUCUUGCAAACAGGACUUUCCAGCAUAAGGUGGUAUCCUCAACUCAGUCCUUGUUCCUACCUUUGCAAAACUCACUGUUCUGCUUCCUAGUGGGUUUCAAGACCAAUGGUGACAGUGACAUCAAUAACUCAAGUUUCGAUCAAUCUCUCAAAACUGAUAAAAUGACCAAAAAGGGGGAAUUGUUAAAGCGAACUAAAUAUGGCCUGAGAAGGACUCCGUACUUCUGUAUUGGAGUCCCUGUGAACAAACUGAGCCUAACUUAAUAGGUAGACAAGAUUGAAAACCUAAAUUAGGAGUAUGUACCUGUCACAAUUGCUGAGUCUCGGCCAGUCCCAGCAGCCGUACUUCAAUCACUCAUACACUGCUGAAUGUUCAAACUGUGUGUAAAUAAGGCAAAUGCCAACCUGUAACUAAUCCAGGUGUUUCUCUACCUCACUUCCCUUUUUUUGUCUAUAAAUCUUCCACCACGUGGCUGCACUGGAGUCUCUCUGAAUCUGCUGUAAUUCUGGGGGCUGCCCGAUGUGCAAAUCAUUCAUUGCUCAAUUAAACUCCUUUAAAUUUAAUUCAGCUGAAGUUUUCUUUUAACAAGAGUGAGAUAAGAAUCUGUGUUCUUAUCCCCCAGAAUGGAC
RNAcentral lists this long non-coding RNA (2983 nucleotides) under Homo sapiens (human). RNAcentral describes it as "PREDICTED lncRNA (TCONS_00241766)". The record is from RNAcentral. Lineage: Eukaryota; Metazoa; Chordata; Mammalia; Primates; Hominidae.